CUUCUUUGCUGGCGACCGGCGCACGGGUGAGUAACACGUAUCCAACCUGCCCUUUACUCGGGGAUAGCCUUUCGAAAGAAAGAUUAAUACCCGAUAGUAUAAUGAUUCCGCAUGGUUUCAUUAUUAAAGGAUUCCGGUAAAGGAUGGGGAUGCGUUCCAUUAGGUUGUUGGUGAGGUAACGGCUCACCAAGCCUUCGAUGGAUAGGGGUUCUGAGAGGAAGGUCCCCCACAUUGGAACUGAGACACGGCCCAA
RNAcentral lists this ribosomal RNA (253 nucleotides) under uncultured bacterium. RNAcentral's name for it is "partial 16S ribosomal RNA". It matches the Rfam family "Bacterial small subunit ribosomal RNA", at positions 80 to 334 of the family's 1533-position model. The record is from RNAcentral.